AACAUCGCGCACCUGCGGGAACCUGCGGAAGGAUCAUUACCGAGUUUACAACUCCCAAACCCCUGUGAACAUACCUAUACGUUGCCUCGGCGGAUCAGCCCGCGCCCCGUAAAACGGGACGGCCCGCCCGAGGACCCCUAAACUCUGUUUUUAGUGGAACUUCUGAGUAAAACAAACAAAUAAAUCAAAACUUUUAACAAUGGAUCU
This 207-nucleotide unclassified non-coding RNA is filed under the name soil metagenome. RNAcentral's name for it is "partial contains 5.8S ribosomal RNA, internal transcribed spacer 2, and large subunit ribosomal RNA". The record is from RNAcentral.